RNAcentral lists this ribosomal RNA (497 nucleotides) under uncultured bacterium. RNAcentral describes it as "partial 16S ribosomal RNA". It matches the Rfam family "Bacterial small subunit ribosomal RNA", at positions 28 to 507 of the family's 1533-position model. The record is from RNAcentral.
GAUGAACGCUGGCGGCGUGCCUAAUACAUGCAAGUCGAGCGAACAGACGAGGAGCUUGCUUCUCUGACGUUAGCGGCGGACGGGUGAGUAACACGUGGAUAACCUACCUAUAAGACUGGGAUAACUUCGGGAAACCGGAGCUAAUACCGGAUAAUAUAUUGAACCGCAUGGUUCAAUAGUGAAAGACGGUUUUGCUGUCACUUAUAGAUGGAUCCGCGCCGCAUUAGCUAGUUGGUAAGGUAACGGCUUACCAAGGCAACGAUGCGUAGCCGACCGGAGAGGGUGAUCGGCCACACUGGAACUGAGACACGGUCCAGACUCCUACGGGAGGCAGCAGUAGGGAAUCUUCCGCAAUGGGCGAAAGCCUGACGGAGCAACGCCGCGUGAGUGAUGAAGGUCUUCGGAUCGUAAAACUCUGUUAUUAGGGAAGAACAAAUGUGUAAGUAACUAUGCACGUCUUGACGGUACCUAAUCAGAAAGCCACGGCUAACUACGUG